AUUCGUGGUGCGACGAAGCUUCUCAUGUCGUCAGAUACAUCGGCUGAUCAAGAUGAAGUUACCUGUAACUUACUCAAAGAAAAACACCCAGGCCCAUCAAUAGAUUUAGAUCUACCUGAACCACCCGACGCUACAUUCAUUCCAUUAAUAACAACGGAAGAAGAUGUUCGAAAAUCAAUUAAUAGUUUCUAUAACGGUUCGUCAGCAGGUUGCGAUUUGAUUUCUCCUCAGCAUUUGAAAGAUUUGAUUGCCAUUUCAAAUGGAGAUUCUGGCACCAGACUUCUUAAGUCAAUAACGUCAUUAUCAAAUUUCAAUCUACGACGAAAAGUGCAAG
This is a long non-coding RNA of Bradysia coprophila, 334 nucleotides long. Lineage: Eukaryota; Metazoa; Arthropoda; Insecta; Diptera; Sciaridae. The record is from RefSeq and is a predicted model, not a curated record.